RNAcentral lists this ribosomal RNA (54 nucleotides) under Aplonobia histricina. Its description in RNAcentral is "partial 28S ribosomal RNA". Lineage: Eukaryota; Metazoa; Arthropoda; Arachnida; Trombidiformes; Tetranychidae. The record is from RNAcentral.
AUCUCAGAGCAGGUGAGGCUACCCGCAGAAUUUAAGCAUAUCACUAAGCGGAGG